Molecule: unclassified non-coding RNA, 353 nt
Filed under: uncultured fungus
Lineage: Eukaryota; Fungi
Description: partial contains 18S rRNA, ITS1, 5.8S rRNA
Rfam family: Eukaryotic small subunit ribosomal RNA (bases 1-40)
Source: RNAcentral
UAACAAGGUUUCUGUAGGUGAACCUGCAGAAGGAUCAUUAGUGAAGAUUUGGGCAGGCCAUACGGACGCCACAAAGUGUCCCUGGCCGCCUACACCCACUAUACAUCCACAAACCCGUGUGCACUGUCCUUGGAAAGGGCAUUUGGAGAGAAAAAGGAAGAGAAGCGAGAACAGUGCGAUCCGUCGCGUUGGGCGUUGAUCUCUGACUUGGUCUCUCUGAGGCCCUUUCCUAGCCACAAACUCGAAUGGUUAGUAUGAACGUGGAACUUGGUUGGACCGUCACUGGCCAACAAACUAUACACAACUUUCGACAACGGAUCUCUUGGUUCUCCCAUCGAUGAAGAACGCAGCGA